This 492-nucleotide ribosomal RNA is filed under the name uncultured bacterium. RNAcentral describes it as "partial 16S ribosomal RNA". It matches the Rfam family "Bacterial small subunit ribosomal RNA", at positions 29 to 507 of the family's 1533-position model. The record is from RNAcentral.
AGUGAACGCUGGCGGUGUGCCUAAUACAUGCAAGUCGAACGGCAACACAGUAAGCGUUUUCUCCUGCGGUUGGCGAGUGGCGGGUGGGUGAGACAUACAUAGCCAUCCACUAAUACGUGGGUGACAUCGGGGAACAACAUCUACUACUACCGCAUACAACGUACGGCAGAAAGCAGGAGUUCAAGGGGGCUUUGGCGAUACUUUGAGAUGGAGCCGCAUUAGCUAGUUGGCGUGGUAAAGGCACACCAAGGCAACGAUGCGUAGCGGAUCUGAGAGGGUGAUCGGCCACACUGGAACUGAGACACGGUCCAGACUCCUACGGGAGGCAGCAGUAGGGAAUCUUCGACAAUGGGCGCAAGCCUGAUCCAGCCAUGCCGCGUGAGUGAUGAAGGUCUUCGGAUCGUAAAACUCUGUUGUUAGGGAAGAAAAAAAGCGGAUGAAACCACGCACGUCUUGACGGUACCUAAAGAGUAAGCACCGGCUAACUUCGUG